RNAcentral lists this ribosomal RNA (369 nucleotides) under Micavibrio sp. Its description in RNAcentral is "bacterial SSU rRNA". It matches the Rfam family "Bacterial small subunit ribosomal RNA", at positions 1 to 395 of the family's 1533-position model. The record is from RNAcentral. Lineage: Bacteria; Pseudomonadati; Bdellovibrionota; Bdellovibrionia; Bdellovibrionales; Pseudobdellovibrionaceae.
AUCAAACUUAAGAGUUUGAUCCUGGCUCAGAAUGAACGCUGGCGGCAGGCCUAAUACAUGCAAGUCGAACGGACACUUCGGUGUUAGUGGCGGACGGGUGCGUAACACGUGGGAAUUUGCCCUUGAGUAAGGAACAACAGUUGGAAACGACUGCUAAUACCUUAUAAUAUCUCCGGAUCAAAGAUUUAUCGCUCAAGGAUAAGCCCGCGGCUGAUUAGCUUGUUGGUGAGGUAAUGGCUCACCAAGGCAACGAUCAGUAGCUGGUCUGAGAGGAUGACCAGCCACACUGGGACUGAGACACGGCCCAGACUCCUACGGGAGGCAGCAGUGGGGAAUUUUGGACAAUGGGGGCAACCCUGAUCCAGCAAU